RNAcentral lists this ribosomal RNA (253 nucleotides) under uncultured prokaryote. Its description in RNAcentral is "partial 16S ribosomal RNA". It matches the Rfam family "Bacterial small subunit ribosomal RNA", at positions 524 to 776 of the family's 1533-position model. The record is from RNAcentral.
UACGUAGGGUGCAAGCGUUAAUCGGAAUUACUGGGCGUAAAGCGUGCGCAGGCGGCUAUGCAAGACAGAUGUGAAAUCCCCGGGCUCAACCUGGGAACUGCAUUUGUGACUGCAUGGCUAGAGUACGGUAGAGGGGGAUGGAAUUCCGCGUGUAGCAGUGAAAUGCGUAGAGAUGUGGAGGAAUACCGAUGGCGAAGGCAGCCCCCUGGGUCGAUACUGACGCUCAUGCACGAAAGCGUGGGGAGCAAACAGG